UACGGAGGGUGCAAGCGUUGUCCGGAUUUAUUGGGUUUAAAGGGUGCGUAGGCGGCCCAUUAAGUCAGGGGUGAAAUACCGCGGCUCAACCGCGGGGCUGCCCCUGAUACUGUUGGGCUUGGGGCCACGGCGGGCAGGCGGAAUUUGCGAUGUAGCGGUGAAAUGCAUAGAUAUCGCAAGGAAUGCCGGAGGCGAAGGCGGCCUGCUUCCGUGGAUCCGACGCUGAGGCACGAAAGCGCGGGGAUCGAACAGG
Molecule: ribosomal RNA, 253 nt
Filed under: uncultured bacterium
Lineage: Bacteria
Description: partial 16S ribosomal RNA
Rfam family: Bacterial small subunit ribosomal RNA
Source: RNAcentral